UUGACAGAUCCACUAAAUAUUGCAUGCGCUGCGGGUGGGACAGAGACACUGUCUGAGACUAGAUAACCUAAGUGCCGGUCCUCCGAGUUUAUCGAAGCUAAUCAAAGGCGGAUCCGCACAACGCGUUUCCUGUAAUGCGACGCCCGGGUGGAUGAAUAAAACAUGAGCCGGGCCUGACUGCCGGUCGCCCGGACCUCCUCAGCUGUGUAAGUGGUGAAAGGCGGUAUAAUCUCUUCGGACAAGAUCCCGACUGUGAUUGAUCGAGAGACAGACAGGUGCCGCCGGUUAAAACCAAACCCCAGCGAGCACCCCUCGCAGAACUCUCCGAUGAAUGGACCUCAUCCGGGGACUCGCAGCGCAAUGGGUAGCGGCCGGGGACUCGCGGAGGUGAUCAUGGAGAUGCAGGACGAAAUUAAAAAGCUGGAGUCGGAGAACAGGGCCCUGCGCGGGGAGCUGGGACAGCACGAGGCGGGGAGCGGCAGUGCGGAGGCCAACCUGGCCUCGCCCGCAUUCCACCACAGACACGCCGCGGAGGAAUCCUCUCCGCACGCUAAUCUGAGGCGGAAUGCGUCUGCACCCACGCUGGAAAGACAAUACAAGGACAACAUCAUCAUGACGGUGCGCCGAUAUUCCAUCUCGCCCGACAUGAGGACAGUGAACCGGAAGAGCGAGAGACUGGCGUCCGGACAGGAGCCCACGGAGGCGCGCGACACGGGCUGGACCCGACUCCAGGGCGAAACCCGCGGGGACGCGCCCGCCCUGCUCGCCCCCUCUGCCCGGGAGGAGAGCAGGGAGAAACAAUCCAACAGACGGUCCCUCCAAGAAUACGUGCACAAAAGCAGGGCUAAAGUCAAAACCGUCACCUUUCUUCUUCCUGUGGAGGAUAUUUACACAAACCGGCCCUUCCUGGCCAAUCAGAGGGCGGGCGGGAAGACGUACGACCUGGGCGUGAUUGUGGAGGACUCGUGAGGGAGAGGUGUGAGUGAGGAGAGAGGGAAAAGGGGGGAAAGUUGCAGGCGUCCCACACUAUCCAGGUCAGAGUUCUCUGCUGUAUUGUUUGGCAGUGAUCCACCUGUGUGUGCGGAGCGAUCGGGUGUCCCCCCCCCACAGCAUCAAUCUGACUCCGUCAGGGGGAGGCCACAGCAGGUGCUGCUGGGAGUGACACGAGGGCUUCAGUUUCAGCCGUGGAACCAAGACCAAAUCAGCAUCAUGAUUUAUUCACUUUAGUGUCUCUUUCUCUCUCAAAGUAGGCUUUGCUGGACUCGUGUGUGUCUGUGUGAAAUCAGAAUGCUGCCUAUCUAUUUUCUCAUGUGUAAAAUGUGAGAGUAUAAGAUUAUCGGUGUUAAUUAAUGUAAAGCACAACAUUUUAUUUUUGUAAAACUUCUGCUCUCUUUAUCAUCCCCUGAUUUAAAAGUAUAC
This is an RNA transcript of Conger conger (European conger), 1419 nucleotides long. RefSeq lists it as uncharacterized. The record is from RefSeq and is a predicted model, not a curated record. The transcript is spliced from 5 exons. Lineage: Eukaryota; Metazoa; Chordata; Actinopteri; Anguilliformes; Congridae.